CCGCCGGCGACCGGCGCACGGGUGAGUAACACGUAUGCAACCUGGCCGUGACAGAUGGAUAACCGGGAGAAAUCCCGCCUAAUACAGCAUGACGCCGGGAAGGGACAUCCCUUUCCGGCCAAAGGGGGCGACCCCGGUCACGGAUGGGCAUGCGGCGCAUUAGGUAGUUGGUGGGGGCAACGGCCCACCAAGCCGACGAUGCGUAGGGGUUCUGAGAGGAAGGUCCCCCACAUUGGAACUGAGACACGGUCCAAACUCCUACGGGAGGCAGCAG
Molecule: ribosomal RNA, 274 nt
Filed under: uncultured bacterium
Lineage: Bacteria
Description: partial 16S ribosomal RNA
Rfam family: Bacterial small subunit ribosomal RNA
Source: RNAcentral